GAUGAACGCUGGCGGCGUGCCUAAUACAUGCAAGUCGAGCGAACAGACGAGGAGCUUGCUCCUCUGACGUUAGCGGCGGACGUGUGAGUAACACGUGGAUAACCUACCUAUAAGACUGGGAUAACUUCGGGAAACCGGAGCUAAUACCGGAUAAUAUAUUGAACCGCAUGGUUCAAUAGUGAAAGACGGUUUUGCUGUCACUUAUAGAUGGAUCCGCGCCGCAUUAGCUAGUUGGUAAGGUAACGGCUUACCAAGGCAACGAUGCGUAGCCGACCUGAGAGGGUGAUAGGCCACACUGGAACUGAGACACGGUCCAGACUCCUACGGGAGGCAGCAGUAGGGAAUCUUCCGCAAUGGGCGAAAGCCUGACGGAGCAACGCCGCGUGAGUGAUGAAGGUCUUCGGAUCGUAAAACUCUGUUAUUAGGGAAGAACAAAUGUGGAAGUAACUAUGCACGUAUUGACGGUACCUAAUCAGAAAGCCACGGCUAACUACGUG
Molecule: ribosomal RNA, 497 nt
Filed under: uncultured bacterium
Lineage: Bacteria
Description: partial 16S ribosomal RNA
Rfam family: Bacterial small subunit ribosomal RNA
Source: RNAcentral